Molecule: long non-coding RNA, 2260 nt
Filed under: Homo sapiens (human)
Lineage: Eukaryota; Metazoa; Chordata; Mammalia; Primates; Hominidae
Description: HSALNT0280978
Source: RNAcentral
CUCUCUCUCUUCUUUAACCAAGAGUCUUUCACCAUUUCCAGUUUAAAGAGCAUUCUCUUUAAUAAACAAUAAGAAAAAGGGGGAAACAAACUAGGAAUUGUACGGUUCUUUCUCGUGGUCUUUUGCUUGUAUCACUUCACUCACCCCAAGCAGACCUAUUUUCUCCUUAUUUUAUUUCUGGUCUAAAUGUAGCACAAAUGAUUUUUGUAUUGCUGACAUUAGACUUUCUGAAAAUCUGGGCCAUUCUAUCUUUUGAUUUCCAAUCUGAUAAACUUUUGACAUGAUUUGUGUUGAUUCUUUACUGAUGUCUGGUUUCUGUUUCUAUACAUAUCCCUUCAAAAUCAAAGCUAUUGAAGAGCUGAAGCCUCGACGGCUUCUUUAGAUCCACCCCAUUCCUCUCCUCUCCAGCUUCCUCUGUGGUUAUAUAUUAUGAACAAUUCUUCAGCAAUCAUUUUCUCUUGCUCAUCUCUGGUUUUUGGACUCUCCAGCCAUGAGCUCAUGACCAUAUUUUUUUGGUAAAUUUUUUGACGUGUUCUUUCCCAAACUCUGUGGACAUGCCUGGGGAUCCCUUUCUUGGCUAUGUCAAAUUGUCCUUGUCAUUUUCUCCUGUUUCCUGUCACCUCCACCAUCACCUCAUUGAUGAUCAUUAGCACUGGUAUAUCAGUUCUCCUCAUGGCUUCAUCAGCACUGUGAGGUAAUGACAGUUAAACAAAAGGGACAGUGACAAAUGAUCAAGGCUGGUGAUGAAACUAGAAAGAAAUGGAUAGGAAGGACAGUUCAAGAAGGAACUCUACAAAUGCUGACUGUCUUACAGUUCUCCUCUUGGGCUUGGCCUGGUGCAAUGGUGGCAGGCAUGGAUUUUUGGAGAUCAGAUGUGGCUCCAAUAGCUAGCAAUGCAGUGAACAGAAAAUGUGCAAGGCCAGGGUGGGUAGAAGCUAAUUCCUGGGCCACCAGCAGCACACAUCUUCAGAACCUCAUGAACUAGAGGACCUGGACCUCUUACAAUCCUUUGGCUGGGAUUUUCCCAGAAAUCUGGCCAGACUGAAGGCAUCAGAACAUGCAGCUAAGGGACAGAGGACCACUGCAGACAAGCAGAUCCACCUAACAUAAGCCCUGUAGGCAGCAGGCAAUUUCGUGUGAGAAAUCGUCCUUGUUUGUGAAAUGAACAAUUUCCACUCCCUCUGGCAGACGCUAUAGGAGUCCUGCCAGUAUCCGCUCAGCACUCACCAGCCUUGUACAUGCUGAUAGCUUUCUAUUGCAAGCAUCUGCAACUCUGCCUGGGGCUUUUUCCAGCUGCAGGGGGGUGCUCACCAAAUACCCAGGGUAUGCCAGAAGUUUCAGGAAGCGGCAAUGGCAAAAUGCCCCAGCUUCUCACCCCAAGUGGGACAACUCAAGCAUGUGUUUGCAUGGUCUCUCAGAUGUGCCCAGCAGGAUCAAACCCCAGUUGCCAACAGUGGUCUGCUGCUGACACCGGUAAGAGCAACUUGGGGAGGUUGGAACUCUCAAACCCAUUUUGCAGAUGAGGACACAGAGGAGGCUUAUACAGAUGAAGCAGUUUGCCCAAGGUAAGUAGACAGCAAGCAUCAAGAGUCAGGAUCUGAAAGGCCACUGUUUCAACGAUGGUAUGCCACCUCAUGUGAACUUUGCAUUUUCUGAUUUGAUUAGGGAAGACAAUGACCAUGCACUAAAUGUUGAAAAAUGACACAUUCAAUGGAUGGAAAAGAUAUUUUAGUCUGAAUGUAAUUGUUUUGGGAUUGGGCCGUCCUUUUCAAACUUGACUGUGUAUACAAAUCACCUGGGAAUCUUAUUAAAAUGCAGAUCCUGCUGGACGUGGUGGCUCACUCCCGUAAUCCCAGUGCUUUGGAAGGCCAAGGCAAGAGGAUCGCUUGAGGCCAGGAGCUUGAGACCAGCCUGGGCAACAUAUAGAGACCCAGUCUCUACUAAAUAAAUAAAUAAAUAAAUAAAUAAAUAAAUAAAUAAAUAAAAUAAAAUGCAGAUCCUGAUUCAGCAGGUUUGCAGUAGAGCCUGAGAUUCACAUUUUUUUCAUUAAAAAAUAGUGCUCUUUAUUAUAAAUUACUGAAAUGUUUCUUUUCUGAAUAGAAAUAUAAAUAUGUGCAAAGUUUGACUUGGAUUAGGAUUUUAUUGAGUUCUUCAAGCAUCUCCUAAUAGCCUCGAGGGCGUGAGUAGGGGGGAGGAGAGAGGACUGGAGGUGGAAUCUUUAUAAAAGAGUGAUUGAGACAUUGUAAACAUUAUUAAAAAA